CAAAGGAAGUUGACGGGGGAGCACUACAACGGGUGGAGCCUGCGGUUUAAUUGGAUUCAACGCCGGAAAUCUCACCGGGGCGACAGCAAUAUGAAGGUCAGGCUGAAGACCUUACCCGAUUAGCUGAGAGGUGGUGCAUGGCCGUCGUCAGUUCGUACUGUGAAGCAUCCUGUUAAGUCAGGCAACGAGCGAGACCCACGUCCACAGUUGCCAGCAUACCCUCCGGGGUGAUGGGUACACUGUGGAGACCGCCGCUGCUAAAGCGGAGGAAGGAGUGGGCAACGGUAGGUCAGUAUGCCCCGAAUCUCCCGGGCUACACGCGGGCUACAAUGGUUGGUACAAUGGGCAUCUACCCCGAAAGGGGAAGGAAAUCUCUUAAAGCCAAUCGUAGUUCGGAUUGAGGGCUGCAACUCGCCCUCAUGAAGCUGGAAUCCGUAGUAAUCGCGUUUCAACAGAACGCGGUGAAUACGUUCUCGGGGUUU
RNAcentral lists this ribosomal RNA (482 nucleotides) under uncultured Methanosaeta sp. Its description in RNAcentral is "bacterial SSU rRNA". It matches the Rfam family "Archaeal small subunit ribosomal RNA", at positions 857 to 1338 of the family's 1478-position model. The record is from RNAcentral. Lineage: Archaea; Methanobacteriati; Methanobacteriota; Methanomicrobia; Methanotrichales; Methanotrichaceae.